Molecule: long non-coding RNA, 10355 nt
Filed under: Homo sapiens (human)
Lineage: Eukaryota; Metazoa; Chordata; Mammalia; Primates; Hominidae
Description: non-protein coding LINC00265:25
Source: RNAcentral
AGAUCCUGCCGGCUCUGGACUAGCCGCUCAGCACCAGGGCGGAAGGAAGACGAGGCGAGGCAAGCGCCAAGCUUCCAUCCGGACUUCAAGGCCAGUGGCUGGGUCUGGUUUUCUCAACACGGCCUCCUAGUCUCCUUCCCGCUUGGGCAUCUGUUUUUCUUAUAUAGACCCUGAAGCCGCCCGUGAUGUUCUGUAAGCAGGUUCCGCUUCAGAAUCAGAGGUACUUAAGAGGGAACCUGGAUGCUAGACCUGCCCUUGCUGCUGGCCUCAGUUUCUUUACCUGUAAAACAGGGAUUUUGGAACUGUUAAAUUAAAUCAAACUUAAAAGAAUUACAACUUAAAGCUGCUGGAACUUUACAUGAUCCCGAGCCUUGAGAGGAAUGUGGCUAUGCAGCCUGAGUCAUGUGGCAUGCAGAUGCAACCUCUGCCUUUUUCCGCUGUAAAUAAUUAAGAAGACCAAGUAGCAUCCAAGUCUCUUGUCCUUCUGCCUGCUGUUGUGGGAUGAUGUGUAGAGGAAGAUAGUCUUCCUCUACACAGCAAGAAGAUCCCUACCAGAUGCAGCCCUCUCAACCUUGGACUUCCUGACAUCCAGAACUAGUCACCUAAGCUGAAGAUUCCCUUGAGAACAAGUACUGUCCUGUGGUUUCAUGGCCUUUCUUCCAUUUGUGGUUCUUGCCAAGCGGAAUUUAAAUGACAUCUUAUCAAGAUGGAUAAACCCUAGUUUCCCAGUGCUGGAAUAUAGAAAAUGGAUGGACAAGUAAAUCCCACUCAGCACCCAUAGCCCAGGCAUGGGGACCUCAACACAUUUGAGCCGCAGAGAUCACCUUUCAUUGUGAAUAGCUCUGAGAUGAUACUUCUGGUUGAAUGUCUUUUUGUCACUUCCGGCUGGAUCUACCAUGAAAGAUUUCUGAAUCCAGGAAGAGAGAUUGACUGGGCAACAUGUUAUUCAGAAACAGGACCUUGCCCUGUCACUCAGGAUGGAGUUCAGUGGUCCAAUCAUGGCUCAUUGUAGCCUCAAACUCCCAGGCUCAAGCAAUCCUACCACGUCAGUCUUCCCAGUAGCUGACAGGGUCUCACUCUGUCGCCCAGGCUGGAGUGCAGUGGCAUGAUCUUGGCUCACUGUAGUGUAGACUUCCCAGCCUCAAGGGAUCCUCCCACCCCAGACUCCCAAGUAGCUGGAAUUACAGGUCUCAUGCUCUCACUCAGGCUGCAGUACAGUGGCACAACCUCUACUCACUGCAGCCUCUACCUGCCAGGCUCAAGCAAUUCUCCUGACUUAGCCUCCCGAGUAGCUGGGAUUACAGGGGUGCUACAAGUUGACCACUGCAGCAGUAAAGAUGAUUCUGAAGAAUGGCAUGGGAUGGAUCCUUUCGAAUGCACUUGAGCAGCGGUCUCCAACCACAGGGCCACAGAGCUGGAGAUGCCUUUUUGUCACUUCCAGCUGGAUCUACCAUGAAAGACUUCUGAAUCCAGGAAGAGAGACUGACUGGGCAACAUGUUAUUCAGGAGAUGGGGUCUCACCCUGUCGCCCAGGCUUGAGUACAGUAGUGCUAUCACAGCUCACUGCAGCCUUGAACUCCUGGGCUAAGGAUCCUCCUACCUGAGCCUCCUGAGUAGCUGGGACUGUAGGGUCUCCCUCUGUUGUCCAAGGCUGGAGUGUAGUAGUGCUAUCACAGCUGACUGCAGCCUCAACCUUCCAGGCUGAAGCGAUCCUCCCAUCUCAACCUCCCACGUGGCUGAGACUACAGGCGCUUGCCACUAUGCCCAACUAAUAUUUGGAAUUUUCCUAUACGUGGAUUCCAGAGGGGUGACAGCGAAACGUGGGACCAUCCAGUUGCAGGAAAACGAGCUUAACACGCCCACUGAUUCUACAUUAUGGUGAGUUCUAUAAUUAUUUUAUUAUAUAUUACAGUGUACUAAUGGAAAUAAAGUGCCUAAUAAAUGUAAUCUGCUUAAAUCUUUUGGCCCAGCUCCUACCUCCCGGCAGCCUCUCCAGGCCCAGAACUUUCUCCAGUCGGCCUCCACAGACCAAGCUCAUGACUCACAAUGGCCUAUUUAGGCCCAUACCCUACCUCACGGCAGUCUCCGCAGAUGAGGCUACUGCCUCACAACAGCCUCCACAGGCACAGCUCCAUCGUUACAAUGGCCUCUUUAGACCCAGCUCCUGCCUCCCAGCCUUCUCUCUAGGCCCUGAACUUUCUCAAGUCGACGUCACCAGGCCCAGCUCAUGCUUCUUGGCAGCCUCUCCAGGCCCAGCUCUUCCUCCCGGCGGCCUCUGCAGGCCCAAGUCGUCCUGAAGUCGGCCUCUCCCGGCCCUGCCUCCCAGCAAGUAAGCAAGCUUUUUUGGCUUAGCUCCUGCCCAGCUCCCAACCGCCUUUGUAGGCCCCGAACUUUCUCCAGCCAAGCUCUUCGGGCCCACCUCCUGCCUCCCGGUGGCCUGUACAGGCCCAGCUCUGGCUGGAGAACAGCCUCUGCAGGCCCCGCUCUUGCCUCCCAGGGGCCUCUCCAGGCCCAGCUCUCGCCCCCACAGCGGCCUCCCGGGGCCAAGUCCCUGCCUGCCUCCCGGCAUCCCGCAUGCAGCCCAGCUCCUCCCUCACGGUGGCCUGUUGAUGCCCAACUCAUGCCUCUGGCACCCUGCCCAGAGGCGUGAGCCCCUGCCUCACACCGGCUCCUCCCACGCUGACAGAGGUCAGCGUGAGCCCCUGCCUCAACAGGCCACCGUGAGGGAGGAGCAGGGCCGCACGCGGGCUGCCGGAAGGCGGACAGGGACUUGGCCCCGGGAGGCCGCGGUGGGGCAAGAGCUUGGCCUGGAGACGCCCCUGGGAGGCAACAGCAGGGCCUGCAGACGCUCUUCUCCAGCCAGAGCUGGGACUGUACAGGCCACUGGGAGGCAGGAUGUGGGCCUGAAGAGCUUGGCUGCAGAAACUUUGGGCUCUUCCUCCCGGCUGCGUCUCCAGGCCCAACUCCGGCCUCCCAACAAGGUCUUUGGACUCAGCUCCCCCGCAGCUUCCAGCGGCCCUGGUAGGCCCACAACUUCCUGAAGCCAAGCUCCCCAGGCCCAGCUCAGGCCUCACGGUGGCCUCUCCAGGCUCAGCUCCUGCCCUCCGACAGCGUCUCCAGGCCCCAAACGGCCUCCGGUCGGUGGGCUCCUCUAGGCCCAGCUUGGGCCUCCCGGCAGCCUCUGCAGGCCCAAAUCGUCCUGAAGUCGGCCUCUCCAGGCCCAGCUCCAGCCUCCCGGCGGCCUCUGCAGGCCUAAGUCGUCCUCAAGUCGGCCUGGAAAUGGGCCUGGAAGAGCUGCAAGUCGGCCUCCCCGGGCCCAGCUCCGUCCUCUCGGCGGCCUCUCCAGGUGCAAAACUUCCUCGAGUCAGCCUCUCCAGGCCCAGCUCCUCCUGCCUCAGUGGCCUCUUUCGGCCCAGCCCAGCUCAUGGCUCUCGGCGGUCUUCCCAGGCCCCGCUUUUGACUUUUGGUGGCCUCUUCAGGCCCAGAACUUGACCUCCAGUCGGCCUUUGCAGGCCCGGCCUCCUGCCUCUCGAAGGUCUGCAUGGGCCCGGCCUCGGCCUCACAGCGGACUCUCCACGCCCAGCUAGCUCUCGCCUCACUGCACCCUCCCCAGUCCAAAGCUCCUGCCUUUCGGCCACUUCGGCAGGCCCAGCUCCUGCCUGCCAGUGGCCUCUUUAGGCCCAGCUCAUUCCUCACAACGGCCUUUCCAGGCCCCGUUUUUCCCUUCCGGCAGCCUCUUGGCCUCUAAUUUUUUUAUCUUUUGUGUAUAAAUCCCAAAUUAUGGAAUUUUGGAAUAUUUCCACCAUUAUAUAAAUAUUUUGGUAGGUAAUUUAUUUGGAGUGAGUUUCUGCACCAAGCCCGAAUUUUUUAUUUUAUUUUCCUUAUUAUUUGGUGUUAAACAGGUUUAAUGACGGUCAUGGCAACUUUUUGGCACAAUGAAAAAUAUCGCCCAUGAUCAACGUGUUCUGUUCUGGGGAAGGGGGCAAAGGCAGGGUGAAUCACUUUCUUAAAAAGUACAGCUUAAGUUGGGAGUGCAGAGGGAAUGGGGAGAAAACCCUCCCACUGCCUGUGUCGAAGUGCAGGAGCCCCCACCCCCAUACUCACCUGAGUCCAGCCCCUCUGGGGAAAGAAGGGGUGCAUGAACUCCCCCUAUUCCACAGGCGCCUCCCUGUGGCCCAAGGCCCUCUUCACACUCCAUCUUGUAGCCCCAGCAGGAGCUAUUUUCCGAAAAGUGAAAAGCUCUGAAGGUCCCACACUUCAUGGUAUGUACAGGGGCUCAGAGGAGGGAAACUGCCAAGCUUUCCCCCUGCACAGCAGCAGGGGUAGGGGGUAUAUACAAGAGGAGCAGGCCUUGGCCAGGCGUGGUGGCUCAUGCCUGUAAUCCCAGCACUUUGGGAGGUGGAGGCAGGCGGAUCACGAUGUCAGGAGAUCGAAAUCAGCCUGGCCAAGAUGAUGAAGCCCCGUCUGUACUAAAAAUACAAAAAUUAGCUGGACAUGUUAGCGUGCACCUGUAAUCCCAGCUACCCAGAAGGCUGAGGCAGGAGAAUGGCGUGAACCCAGCAGGAAGAGGUUGCAGUGAGCCAAGAUCGCACCACUGCACUCCAGCCUGGGUGACAGAGCAAGACUCUGUCUCAAAAAAAAAAAAAAAAAAAAGAGAAGCAGGCUUUAUUCCGUCCCAAACUGAAAGGAUUAAAUGGCUUUACCCGGGAGAAGAUAACCAUCCUGCCCUCCAUUGCUACCCCCACAUAAUGUCCAUGUUCUCAGGGGGUACUGUGAGUCCUAGGAUCUUCUUUGGGGUGGCCCACCUGCCUGUGGUAGUUAUGGAGGGACCCAGGUGUUGAGGCAGGGCUGGGGUGCCCCUUCCAGCCAGGCUGUCGAGGCCCCAACUCUGGGGCAGAGGCAGUGGCAGGGCAGCCAGGGUUGCGCCAGAGCCUGAGCAGGGUGAGGUGGGGUCAGGCAGGGCUGGGAGUCAGGGCAGGGGCAGCAGCAGUGGACCCGCUAUGCACACAUCUUCUUCUUCAAGGUUUGUGUGCAGAACAUCCUGCCCAUACUGCCCCAGCAGCUUCAGUUGGCACCUGCCCCAGUCCAGCCUCUGGGACCCAGGCAGCGGCUCCCAGCAGCCCUGGACCCACCACCAGCAUCUGUUUCACCUGCAGUGGAAGAUCCAUGAGGUGCCCAGAAGAUCAUGCAGUCAUCAGUCCCACGGAGCAGCCCGCGAGGCUGAGGCUCCUCCCACUGGACUGCCCCCCAACUGGCACCACUGCUGCCCCUGCCCCUACUCUCAGCCUCAUGUGACUCUCGGGCAGAGGCAGUGGUAGGGCAGCUUCAGAGUCUGAGCCAGGUGAGGUGGGGUCAGGACCCCCGCAGGGGUGGGAAUCAGGGCAGGGGCAGAACAAACCUUGGAGAGGAAGAUGUGUGUAUAGUGGGCCUGGAGAGCGGCUGUGGCCUAGUGGACAGGAAGAAGCAGUGGGCCUGGAAGAGCUGCAUGAUCAGGGCCAGCACUGGUCCAGGGCGCGUGCAGUGAAGAGGACAGCGCCUUCUCGGUCUCCAGUUCCCUGAGCCCGUCCUCGGCUUCUUCACCUGUACAGGCAAAGGGGAAGCUGUCCCCAUCACACAUGGCACACUUGGGCUGCAGAUGGAGCAUCUUCUCAUCCUGCAUUUGGGCAUGGUGGGGUCCUCCAGUGCGGGAUCCAUGUCCGUGGGGUUCCCUCUGCCCCGACCCCCAAAGCCCAGUCAGUUUCUCCUCUUCAGGCUCUGCCCCCCGGGUGGCUCAGCCCAGCUCCUGCCUAGGAAAGCCUUAGUGUUGGGAGGGACUGCGAUGACUGAGGGGCCUGGUAGCUCCAGGUCGCCCACACUUUCAGGUCUCUUGCACCACAAGGUGGCAGGAUCCAUUGGGAGGAAACAGGUCGCCUUGGAAGGCGUCCCUGGGCCCCCAUCCCCAGGGGUAGGGGCCGUAGGGGGCCCGCUCUGCUGCCCUGACCAGACUCCUGGGCUUUGAAGGCUCCUGGGCCCAGUAAGAAGGAGGUGGGUGCCAAGGUUGAGGAGGAAGCAUCCGAGUAUGUGUAGGAGGAGGACGGGGUGGGACCAUAGACUUUGCCAAAAACUGCAGGUGGAUCGGGGGACCCGGGGGACUCAGGAUCCAGCAAGGGGCGGCAGGAGUAAAGGAAGAAGGAAUGACAGGUGCAAAUACCUUCCCACCAAAGCCCUUGUUGCCCUCUGGCUCCUCCCCAGAGCUGUCCCCACUCUCAGUCGGUCACCCACUCCUUGAACUUGAGAUCAGUGUCAGUGGUGCUAAAGCCGUCAUCAGCAAUGACAUCAUCACCCCCUCCUCCUCAUGGAUGACCAUGUGCUCCUCGUCACUCGCUAUGACCUCGCUGGCCAUGUGCUGGGAAUGAGCAGCUUAGGUGGGCAGCAGCAGGGCUGCCCACUGGUCACCUCCCUCACCAGGGGCUGCAAAGUGGCCUGGAGCUCCAUACUGAGUAGAAGGCUUUGGGCCAGAGUAUGAUGCAGUGCCAGACACCACCUGUGUCAGUUCCUGUAGUGCCCGAUGGUCUAUUUCCCUGCCAUCCAGGCUGUGUACCCCCCUGUGGGAGAAGGCUUGGGCCAGGCUGAGCCAGGUUCCCUGACUGUGUGCAGCCGUUCUGCCCCACAGAAGCUGCUCCUUGGUAUCCGAGCUCUGGAGUGUCUGGGCUGCAACUGACAGGAGUUCAGAGGACACCCCAGGGGCAGUGGCAGUGCCCGUCUGUGAUAUGCUCUGCUCCCACGAGCCCUUGUACACUCCUGCUAGCCCCUGGCUUGUGGGCUUGGCCUCUGAGCUGGACUUCUUUCGGUCCUUGUUGCAAGUGGGCCACCUUCACCUGGAAGGCCAGGUCGUGGUAUUGCUGAAGAUCAUGACCGCCACUCAUGGGCCACCGGAUGUGGUCCUUGUCCCAUUUGUUGGGGCUGCAUCCAUCCUUCUCAGAAGAUGAGUCCUGUUCCUUGUGCAGGGCACUGAGGGACUGGGCCUGACAUCAUCUGAGUGGUAGAGGCAACUGGGUGUCAGGAGACAUAACGGAGAGGAAAGCAUCAUCAUGGUCAUUCUCUGUCUCACUGUCCAGCAGGGACUUCCCUGAGGGGCCCAGGGCUCCUCCUUCAUGGUGGGAGGUGGGCUUUUACCAGGUUCCACUACCCCCAAAGUGUGUGGGGUUCCGGGCCCUGGGCUUUCAGGGCAGGUGGAUCCAGGGGGCUGCCGAAGGUCAGCACUCCCUGUCCCACCUGGUGGACACUCGUGAGCAACAGCUGCUGACUUGGCAGGUUCUUUGCUCUGGUUGGAGGCCACUGAGUGACUGGCAGGUUGCUAGGCCUCACGUGGCUGCAGGGAGGGGUCAGGAAGGGGACAGAGUACCAGGAGAACACAGCCACAGAGCAAGGUUCCACGUUCCUCCACACAAACAUGCUGACGCCACCGGAGGCCUCGCUGGACGCAGACAUCAGGGGCCUGUGGGCCAAGUACAUGGUCUGGGCAGGGGGUUCCUGGCAGGGGCUCACACCUCCUCAGCCCCCUCCUCAGCCAAGGCAGCUUGGACCCACGGAAGGGGGGAUGGGAGGGGAGCACGAGACCAGGCCUCAAGUUUUGUUUUUUGUUUUUUGUUUUUUUGUUUUUUUUUGGAGGUGCAGUUUGGCAGUCUGGAGUGCAGUGGUGCGAUCUCAGCUCACUGAAACCUCCACUUCCUGGGUUCAAGCAAUUCUCCGGCCUCAGCCUCCCAAGUAUAUGCACCUUUACUGCUGAAUAUUAUAUAUUUUCUUAUGCUUUCAUGUGAUUAAUUAGCAUUCUUUUUUUUUUCUUUUUGAGACAGAGUGUUGCUCUGUUGCCCAGGCUGGAGGGCAGUGGUGUGAUCUCGGCUCACUGCAACCUCCGCCUCAUGGUUUAAUUGAUUCUCCUGCCUCAGCCCCCUGAGUAGUUGGGAUUACAGGCACCCGCCACCAUACCUGGCUAAUUUUUUGUAUUUUUAGAAGGCAUGGGUUUUUGCCAUGUUGGCCUGGCUGGUCUUGACCUCCUGACCUCAAGUGAUCCACUCUCCUCGGCCUCCCAAAAUGCUGGGAUUACAGGCAUGAGCCACCACACCCAGCUGCUUUCUUUCAUUUUUACUUGAAAAACUCCGUUAAGCAUUUCUUUUAAAGUAGACCUAGUGCUCCUGAAUUACCUCAGCUUUGUUUGUCUAGGGAACAUGUUAUUUAUUCUUUCUUUCUGAAGGAUAGCUUUGUCAAAUAUAGUAUUAGUUGCUGGCAGUUUUUUUCUUUCAGCACUUUGAAUAUAUUCUUCAAUUCUCUCCUGACCUUCAAAGUUUCUUCUGAGAAAUCUGCUGAUAGUUUAAUGAAGAUUCUCUUGUUGGUGUCAUGCCACUUGUCUCUUGCCUCUUCAACAUUUUAAAAAAUCUUUGACUUUUGACUAUUUGAUUAUAUUGUGAUUAUAUAUAUUUGGUUUUAACCUCUUUAGGAAUCUUUAAGCUUCAUGCACUUGGAUGUCUAAAUCUUUCCCAUGAUUUAGGCAGUUUCAGCCAUCCUUUCUUUAAAUAAACUUCCUUCUCCUAUCUCUACUUUCCUUCUCAAACUCACAUGACAGUGGAUUGCCUAAUGGUGUCUCGAUGGCUUUCUUUUCUCUCUCUUUUUUUUCGAGAUGGAGUCUUGCUCUGUCACCCAGGCCAGGGUGCAAUGGCGUGGUCUUGGCUCACUGCAGCCUCCCACUUGGGCUCUGCAGCCCAGCCUGUCUUGUAACCACUGCCUCCUCAAAGCGACACCUGGCAGAUUCUUCUUCCCUUUGAGGGAGAAUCAUCGUUGUUGCUUCAUCUCUUCUAAGACAUUUUGUAGGGCAUGGACAAGUUAAACAGAAUGUGCUUUCCUCCCUGAGGUCUCGCUGUCCCACAGGCUCCUGGGAGAAUGCCACAGGGGCCAUGCACUGGUCGAGCUUCUCUGUAGAACCCAGGGGCUUCAGCCCAGAACACAGCAUCUAGCCCUAAGCCUAGAGCAGGGAGGGAGUCCCGAACUUCUGCAUUCACAGACCACCUCCAGAACUGUUAUAACCAAAGGCAUCCUGUUCUAUUAUUUCACUUAAAUCAACAUGUUAUUUUGUUUUCACUCACUCCUGGCUUUCUCCUUGUGCCGAGCCCAUGUAUCCAUGCAGUCAUGUUCACAGGCUAGUUAUGUUUUCCUUCUUACACAUGAAAAUAAAUGCAUAACUGGUAGAAGCUCUUCCGUGUUUCAUAUAAGCUCUCACACAGGUAAACCCUGGCCUUUGGUAGUAGCCCUGGAAAGAUGUUUGCUGGGCAUCUGCUCACUAUGGCGGGGGUGUCCAAAGAGUGCUGGGGCUCAGCUCAGCAGACAGAGGGGCUCGUUUCCUGCCUCAUGCCCAACACCAGAGACUGAUGCUGGCCAACUCACAGGUGUGCCUCUUCUGGACAAGGGCCACCACUGACGGGGUUGGCUGCAGGGGCCUCACUAGGGCAGCCAAAUGCUUCAAGAAUUAACACUCAGGCUGGGCGUGGUGGCCAAUGCCUGUAAUUCCAGCACUUUGGGAGGCCAAGGCGGGCGGAUCACCUGAGCUUGGGAGUUCAAGACCAGCCUCACCAACAUGGAGAAACCCCUUCUCUACUAAAAAUACAAAAUUAGCUGAGCAUGGUGGUGCAUGCCUAUAAUCCCAGCUGCUCAGGAGGCUGGGGCAGGAGAAUUACUUGAACCCAGGAGGUGGAGGUUGCAGUGAGCCUAGAUCAUACCAUUACACUCCAGCCUGAGCGACAGAGGGAAACUCCGUCUCGAAAAAAAAGAAUUAACACUCAGGCCAGAUGUGGUGGCCAAAGCCUGUAAUCCCAGCACUUUGAGAGGCUGAGGUGGGGGGGUCACUUGAGGCCAGGAGUUUCAGACCAUCCUGGCCAACAUGGCGAAACCCCGCCUCUGCUAAAAAUACAAAAAUUAGCUGGGCAUGGUGGCGCAUGCCUCUAGUCCCAGCUACUUGGGAGGUUGAGGCAGGAGAAUUCCUUGAAUCUGGGAGGCAGAGGUUGCAGUGAGCUGAGAUCACAUCACUGCACUCCAGCCUGGGUGACACAGUGACACCCUGUCUCAAAAAAAAAAAGAACACUCACUCCCAGGGCAUGCUCCCUACAUGUAACCAGGCUGCUCUCCCUCUGCAAGCUUGCACACUGACCCCUGGGCUCCCUUCGUGGGCACAGGCCAAGAGAAAGUUUGUGGCCUGAAAGAGCACUGGCUUGGGAACAGGCCACCCAGAUCUCAGACCUAUCUCUGUACUCAAUAGCGUGAACAAGUUAGUAACCCUCAGCCUUGAUGUUCUCAUCUGGAGCAAUUUUUUAAAAUUUUUUAUUGGC